RNAcentral lists this non-coding RNA (258 nucleotides) under Desulfoscipio gibsoniae. Its description in RNAcentral is "Desulfotomaculum gibsoniae T-box sequence". It matches the Rfam family "T-box leader". Rfam says of the family: Uncharged tRNA acts as the effector for transcription antitermination of genes in the T-box leader family. The record is from RNAcentral. Lineage: Bacteria; Bacillati; Bacillota; Clostridia; Eubacteriales; Desulfallaceae.
GAAAAGGUAAUGAAGGGGAAAAGUAGGCGUAACACAGCUUUAUAGGGAGGAAGCGUCAUGGACUGCAAGCGCUUCUAAAGUAUGAUGCGUUGAAGUUCUCCCCCGAACUGCCGGGCUGAAACAAUGGUAAGUAGGCCCGGACGGAAACUUCCACCGUUAAAAGGAAGGGGGUAUAAGGAAGAUUUCCUGUACUCUGCUAAUAAGUGGGUCUUUUUAGACCAACAAGGGUGGUACCGCGAACUACUUUUCGUCCCUUAA